RNAcentral lists this ribosomal RNA (253 nucleotides) under uncultured bacterium. RNAcentral describes it as "partial 16S ribosomal RNA". It matches the Rfam family "Bacterial small subunit ribosomal RNA", at positions 524 to 776 of the family's 1533-position model. The record is from RNAcentral.
UACGUAGGGCGCAAGCGUUGUCCGGAAUUAUUGGGCGUAAAGAGCUCGUAGGCGGCCUGUUACGUCUGCUGUGAAAUCCCGGGGCUUAACCCCGGGCGUGCAGUGGAUACGGGCAGGCUGGAGGCAGGCAGGGGAGAACGGAAUUCCCGGUGUAGCGGUGAAAUGCACAGAUAUCGGGAGGAACACCGGUGGCGAAGGCGGUUCUCUGGGCCUGUACUGACGCUGAGGAGCGAAAGCGUGGGGAGCGAACAGG